CAUCUGCUCAGUCGUGCGACAACGUUGGGACUUUUAGAGCAGGGAGAAACUAAAGUUCACUUUUUUAUUUUUGCUGCUGAGUGCCAAACGACAAGGGAAGCGCAUUUCUUCAGCGGAUCCUUUAACUGCGCCAGAAAUGGGUGACUGGAGUUUCUUGGGGAACAUUUUAGAAGAGGUAAAUGAGCACUCUACUGUCAUUGGGAGAGUCUGGCUUACAGUGCUCUUCAUUUUUCGAAUCCUGAUCCUAGGAACUGCUGCAGAGUUUGUUUGGGGAGAUGAACAGUCAGACUUUGUGUGCAAUACUCAGCAGCCUGGUUGUGAGAAUGUCUGCUAUGAUGAAGCCUUCCCCAUCUCCCACAUUCGUUUAUGGGUCCUACAGAUCAUCUUUGUCUCUACUCCCUCGCUGGUUUAUUUGGGCCAUGCUGCACACCAUGUUAGGAUGGAAGAGAAAAGGAAAGAUCUGGAAGAAGCACAAAGGGCUAGGCAAGGUCAGACAGACGAAGAAAACUCUGCCCUUGGUCCAGACCAGAAGAGUCCUAUAGUCACCAAGGAAAUAAAUCCCAAGGGGAUCAAGAAAUUUCGUCUUGAGGGAACACUGUUGAGAACCUAUAUCUGCCACAUCUUUUUCAAAACGCUUUUUGAGGUGGGCUUCAUAGUGGGUCAGUACUUUCUAUAUGGCUUCCGAAUUCUACCUCUAUACCGCUGUGGCAGGUGGCCCUGCCCCAACCUUGUAGACUGUUUCGUGUCCAGGCCUACUGAGAAAACUAUCUUUAUUAUGUUUAUGUUGGCUGUGGCUUCAGUGUCCCUCUUUCUCAAUCUUGUGGAGAUCAGUCAUUUGGGCUUUAAGAAGAUCCUGAUGGCUUUCAGAAGGUCAGCAGAACAACAGCCUGCGGAGACUCCUGAGAAACCCCUUCACUCUAUUGCAGUUUCAUCAAUCCAAAAAGUCAAAGGUUACAAGCUGCUGGAGGAAGAGAAGCCAGUAUUUCACUACUUCCCAUUGACAGAUGUAGGAGUAGAAACUACACCUGUACCCCCCUCAUUCAGUAAUUAUGAAGAGAAGAUUGGCAUGGAGCAUCUGAAAGACCUUUCCGGGGUCUUUGAUGAGCAGCUGCCAUCCUAUGCUCGUAUGGAUGAACAGGAUGAGGAGAACGUAGAUGUGAGAGAAGAGCAAGAACAGGAGGCACAUGAGGUGACUGAGGAGGCACAAGAGCCAAGGGUGGAAAAGUUAACAGACGAAGCAGAGGAGAAAGAAGAAGCAAAGCUCAAAGAGAUGGAACAAGUGUUAGAACCAUCAGGAGAGGACUUACGUUUGCCAUCAGCUGAUAUCACUGUUGACACAAGACCCCUUAGCAGGUUGAGCAAAACCAGCAGUCGGGCCAGGUCAGAUGAUCUGACUGUAUGAAAUUAUUGGCUGUCAGGUGGCUCUUGAGCACCCACAAACAUACAUAUCUUAGAUGUCCUAAAUGAAGUGCUAAGCCAGUCAUUUUAUGAUUGUUCCUUAUCAAUAUUUUGGCUAGAAAGGUGCUAUAAAAGCUAGCUGCGUUGUCAGUCCUGUUUGGUCUACAAGUGGAGCUAGCUGCCAUGUUGCCUAUUCAGUGAAUCAAUUCCUCUUCUUGCCAAUGCAGAUGCCUCACUACUGUAAAGUAAAUGCACUAUAUACAGUACUGAAAUCUGAGGAGAAAACUUCCCCAAAACACAGAGGAAAACAAAUGUAGCAACUGUGGUCACAACUGCUCUAUAUUCCUCUUUUCUCCAGGGAUGUGGGAAGUAGAUCUCUUCAUUUGAUUUCUUGCAAAUAUCGAUAAACCUCUUAGUGUUGGUAUUUCUUUUUUCCUGUUUUAGCUUGUAACAUUACAGUGUUGGUGCUUUUUCCCUUGCUGGCCUUGAGUUUUGAUUUUUUUAACUCAUAAAAAAGGGAUACUGCCAACUAACAUGGUUAAAUUAUAUACAGCUAUAUCCCUGCAAAACAACAGAAAGUUUAAAUGUUUAUGUAUGUGGACAAAUAUGGUUUACCAAUAUUUUUUGUUCCCUAGUUUAGGUGGGGCACUUACCUUUUUGUCUGCAUGAUACAUCUCAAUCAUUAGAUGCAUACAACUUGAAUAAGGUCUCUGAUCACACAACAGAGAAAAACUGUGUUUUCCAGGAAGUAAUCUUUGACAGUGUGAUCAGGGGAAAAAAGUGCUAUUGUGUUAGCAACAACAACCCCCCGUCUAGGUUAUCAGCCAAGAAACUGGAUCACACAUUUGGUUUUCUCCCUGAAGGUGUCCCCAGGGAAGUAGAACACAUCAUACAGAGAACAUUCUAAACACAUGAAUGAGUUCCCAAUACAAUACUGAUUUCACUGGCAUCCUUAUCACAUUAGUUUCAUGGUGUGGUACACACUGCAUUGUGACUCUUUCCGCUACAGCAUGAGGAGCCUCAAAUGUAUGGGGACCAUAUGCUGUGACUCUUCCACCUUGCCCCACUUUCUGUGGAAUGCCCAUGUGGCCCAGGGCUCCUCACAAUACAGCAAUGGACCAGAGCUUACCUCACCACAAAGAGUUGUACUUUAUAACCAC
Molecule: RNA transcript, 2558 nt
Organism: Sphaerodactylus townsendi
Lineage: Eukaryota; Metazoa; Chordata; Lepidosauria; Squamata; Sphaerodactylidae
Gene: GJA8
Gene name: gap junction protein alpha 8
Exons: 3
Source: RefSeq, a predicted model, not a curated record